This 1233-nucleotide long non-coding RNA is filed under the name Betta splendens (Siamese fighting fish). RNAcentral describes it as "lncRNA (ENSBSLG00000026378.1)". Lineage: Eukaryota; Metazoa; Chordata; Actinopteri; Anabantiformes; Osphronemidae. The record is from RNAcentral.
UCAGCUAAUGGCUGAGCGUGCGGCAUGGAAUCAAGGAGGUGUUGGUGAGGAGGGGAGGGAGGAAAUCCUUUCUGCGUUGUCCAGUGGAAUCUGGGUCUGACUUCAACAGCUGUUACGUGAUAGGCUGGAUGAUGCCUCCGCGGCAGGAGCAGCAUCCUUUUAUGUCAUUAGAUCCUUAAUGUUUGAUAUUACAGUUUGUAGCUGUUGUGUCACAUCACUGUCACGUCACCAUUUAGACCUGAGAUUCUAUAAGGCAUUGGCUUCCAUGUGUGUGUGUGUGUUUUGUUUUUGUGUUUAGACAUUGUUCCUUCUGGUGACUAGUGAUUGCAUUAGUACAUUCUUAUAUUUGUGCAUGUCUGGACAAAUUAACUUUCAGCUUGACUGCCUGUGUGUGUAAAUGAGUUUGAAAGGCAAUGUAAUCAGUCAAGAUGAGAACUAAGUGCCCCGUGUGUGUGUGUGUGUGUGUGUGUGUGUGUGUGUGUGUGUGUGUGUGUGUGUGUGUGUGUGUGUGUGUGUGUGUGUGUGUGUUGGCCGCUGGACUUCAGCCAAGCCUUUGCCAGGUCCUUUUUGCUACGUCCUCUCAAGAAUGAAGCACACACUCGAGAGAGAAAACGUGUGUGUACAGUCCAUAAGAGAGAGAGCGAGAGAGCGAGACCGUCUUAAUUCUGUCUCCUUAAUGUAGGAAGCGUCAUGUCCUCUUCUGCUCUGAGCUUCAACCACAGGAGCUGAUGUCACAGAGCGGCGCCUUCCAUCCCGUCAGUCACGACGCCACGGAAAUCUGCCGCACGCGAGCUGCGGGGGCGGCGUGGAGGCGGCUUGUGGGGAAUUCCCGGCGCCGUUUUCAAAGCGUGGCCGGCCCACUUCAACCCAACAUCUGGAAUGGAACGUGGCCCGUGCGCGACCCCGAUGACGCCGGGCCGGGCCGGUGCGCGGCGACAGCGGGGAAACGCUGCUCAGCCCGGUUUCGUUUCCCGCCGACGGCCUCGCGCGGCGCCGCUCCGCUCUGCGUUCACCUGCAGGAUUAAGGUCCAUCCUUGUCAUCCGAUAGGGCAGCGCGCCGUGAUUGACAGCCGGGUUCAGCAUCCUGACACAGGUCCGUGCCCCCGUCAUCAUUGCGGCUCGUCCCACGCUGGCCCUGGGAGUGACAGGCGCCUGCGGAGGCAUUUACUCGCGGUGCCGCUGAAAGAAGCUCCUCCGUGGCCGGAUUUCGCUGGCGCCGCCGACGCACACUAG